Molecule: ribosomal RNA, 1372 nt
Filed under: uncultured bacterium
Lineage: Bacteria
Description: bacterial SSU rRNA
Rfam family: Bacterial small subunit ribosomal RNA
Source: RNAcentral
GAUGAACGCUGGCGGCGUGCCUAAUACAUGCAAGUCGAGCGAACGGACGAGAAGCUUGCUUCUCUGAUGUUAGCGGCGGACGGGUGAGUAACACGUGGAUAACCUACCUAUAAGACUGGGAUAACUUCGGGAAACCGGAGCUAAUACCGGAUAAUAUUUUGAACCGCAUGGUUCAAAAGUGAAAGACGGUCUUGCUGUCACUUAUAGAUGGAUCCGCGCUGCAUUAGCUAGUUGGUAAGGUAACGGCUUACCAAGGCAACGAUGCAUAGCCGACCUGAGAGGGUGAUCGGCCACACUGGAACUGAGACACGGUCCAGACUCCUACGGGAGGCAGCAGUAGGGAAUCUUCCGCAAUGGGCGAAAGCCUGACGGAGCAACGCCGCGUGAGUGAUGAAGGUCUUCGGAUCGUAAAACUCUGUUAUUAGGGAAGAACAUAUGUGUAAGUAACUGUGCACAUCUUGACGGUACCUAAUCAGAAAGCCACGGCUAACUACGUGCCAGCAGCCGCGGUAAUACGUAGGUGGCAAGCGUUAUCCGGAAUUAUUGGGCGUAAAGCGCGCGUAGGCGGUUUUUUAAGUCUGAUGUGAAAGCCCACGGCUCAACCGUGGAGGGUCAUUGGAAACUGGAAAACUUGAGUGCAGAAGAGGAAAGUGGAAUUCCAUGUGUAGCGGUGAAAUGCGCAGAGAUAUGGAGGAACACCAGUGGCGAAGGCGACUUUCUGGUCUGUAACUGACGCUGAUGUGCGAAAGCGUGGGGAUCAAACAGGAUUAGAUACCCUGGUAGUCCACGCCGUAAACGAUGAGUGCUAAGUGUUAGGGGGUUUCCGCCCCUUAGUGCUGCAGCUAACGCAUUAAGCACUCCGCCUGGGGAGUACGACCGCAAGGUUGAAACUCAAAGGAAUUGACGGGGACCCGCACAAGCGGCGGAGCAUGUGGUUUAAUUCGAAGCAACGCGAAGAACCUUACCAAAUCUUGACAUCCUUUGACAACUCUAGAGAUAGAGCCUUCCCCUUCGGGGGACAAAGUGACAGGUGGUGCAUGGUUGUCGUCAGCUCGUGUCGUGAGAUGUUGGGUUAAGUCCCGCAACGAGCGCAACCCUUAAGCUUAGUUGCCAUCAUUAAGUUGGGCACUCUAAGUUGACUGCCGGUGACAAACCGGAGGAAGGUGGGGAUGGCGUCAAGUCAUCAUGCCCCUUAUGAUUUGGGCUACACACGUGCUACAAUGGACAAUACAAAGGGCAGCGAAACCGCGAGGUCAAGCAAAUCCCAUAAAGUUGUUCUCAGUUCGGAUUGUAGUCUGCAACUCGACUACAUGAAGCUGGAAUCGCUAGUAAUCGUAGAUCAGCAUGCUACGGUGAAUACGUUCCCGGGUCU